CCCUUAGAUGUUCUGGGCCGCACGCGUGCUACACUGAGUGGAUCAGCGGGUCAGGUUGCGCGAAAGCGUUUCCUAAUCUUUAAAUCCGCUCGUGAUGGGGAUUGACGGUUGCAAUUUUCUGUCAUGAACGAGGAAUACCUUGUAAGCGCGGGUCAUCAUCCCGCGCUGAAUACGUCCCUGCCCUUUGUACGCACCGCCCGUCGCUCCUACCGAUUGAGUGGUCCGGUGAGGCUUUGGGAUCUGAGCGGAAAGAGCGUUUCGCUGUUUCUGCUCGGAAAACUCAGUCGAACCUUAUCAUUUAGAGGAAGGAGAAGGCGUAACA
Molecule: ribosomal RNA, 322 nt
Filed under: uncultured eukaryote
Lineage: Eukaryota
Description: partial 18S ribosomal RNA
Rfam family: Eukaryotic small subunit ribosomal RNA
Source: RNAcentral